RNAcentral lists this ribosomal RNA (465 nucleotides) under uncultured Klebsiella sp. Its description in RNAcentral is "bacterial SSU rRNA". It matches the Rfam family "Bacterial small subunit ribosomal RNA", at positions 338 to 795 of the family's 1533-position model. Lineage: Bacteria; Pseudomonadati; Pseudomonadota; Gammaproteobacteria; Enterobacterales; Enterobacteriaceae. The record is from RNAcentral.
CCUACGGGUGGCAGCAGUGGGGAAUAUUGCACAAUGGGCGCAAGCCUGAUGCAGCCAUGCCGCGUGUGUGAAGAAGGCCUUCGGGUUGUAAAGCACUUUCAGCGGGGAGGAAGGCGUUAAGGUUAAUAACCUUGGCGAUUGACGUUACCCGCAGAAGAAGCACCGGCUAACUCCGUGCCAGCAGCCGCGGUAAUACGGAGGGUGCAAGCGUUAAUCGGAAUUACUGGGCGCAAAGCGCACGCAGGCGGUCUGUCAAGUCGGAUGUGAAAUCCCCGGGCUCAACCUGGGAACUGCAUUCGAAACUGGCAGGCUAGAGUCUUGUAGAGGGGGGUAGAAUUCCAGGUGUAGCGGUGAAAUGCGUAGAGAUCUGGAGGAAUACCGGUGGCGAAGGCGGCCCCCUGGACAAAGACUGACGCUCAGGUGCGAAAGCGUGGGGAGCAAACAGGAUUAGAUACCCCGGUAGUC